Molecule: ribosomal RNA, 497 nt
Filed under: uncultured bacterium
Lineage: Bacteria
Description: partial 16S ribosomal RNA
Rfam family: Bacterial small subunit ribosomal RNA
Source: RNAcentral
GAUGAACGCUGGCGGCGUGCCUAAUACAUGCAAGUCGAGCGAACAGAUAAGGAGCUUGCUCCUUUGACGUUAGCGGCGGACGGGUGAGUAACACGUGGGUAACCUACCUAUAAGACUGGGAUAACUUCGGGAAACCGGAGCUAAUACCGGAUAAUAUUUCGAACCGCAUGGUUCGAUAGUGAAAGAUGGUUUUGCUAUCACUUAUAGAUGGACCCGCGCCGUAUUAGCUAGUUGGUAAGGUAACGGCUUACCAAGGCGACGAUACGUAGCCGACCUGAGAGGUUGAUCGGCCACACUGGAACUGAGACACGGUCCAGACCCCUACGGGAGGCAGCAGUAGGGAAUCUUCCGCAAUGGGCGAAAGCCUGACGGAGCAACGCCGCGUGAGUGAUGAAGGUCUUCGGAUCGUAAAACUCUGUUAUUAGGGAAGAACAUACGUGUAAGUAACUGUGCACGUCUUGACGGUACCUAAUCAGAAAGCCACGGCUAACUACGUG